AUGCUCUUACUACAAUGUAUGGGCAGGAAGAAAUUCCUGCACAAGGGUUUGUACCAGGCCUGCUGGGAACAUCAGAUGGAGCCCUGCAGUUCAUGGCCUACAAGAAACUGAAAUGGACUUUACAAGCAUUUCCAUCGACCCAGUGACACAAAACCGGAAAGAAGAGUUCCAUGGAGUCUACUAGAGCAAUGUCUUCAGCAUUAUCCCAGUGACCUCCGCCUGCGGAAUCGCCUUAGUGGCUUAAAUUCUACUUUCAUUUUCCUGGAAGAGACCACAGUGC
This is a long non-coding RNA of Bufo gargarizans (Asiatic toad), 280 nucleotides long. RefSeq lists it as uncharacterized. The record is from RefSeq and is a predicted model, not a curated record. The transcript has 3 exons. Lineage: Eukaryota; Metazoa; Chordata; Amphibia; Anura; Bufonidae.